This 308-nucleotide ribosomal RNA is filed under the name uncultured bacterium. RNAcentral describes it as "bacterial SSU rRNA". It matches the Rfam family "Bacterial small subunit ribosomal RNA", at positions 28 to 334 of the family's 1533-position model. The record is from RNAcentral.
GACGAACGCUGGCGGCGUGCCUAACACAUGCAUGUCGAACGGGGUGAAGAGCUUCGGCUUUUCACUUAGUGGCGAACGGGUGAGUAACGCGUGAGAAACCUGCCUUUCAGUGGGGGACAACAGUUGGAAACGACUGCUAAUACCGCAUAAUGCAUUUAGGGGGCAUCCCUUGAAUGCCAAAGCUUUAUGUGCUGAAAGAUGGUCUCGCGUCUGAUUAGCUAGAUGGCGGGGUAACGGCCCACCAUGGCGACGAUCAGUAGCCGGUCUGAGAGGAUGAACGGCCACAUUGGGACUGAGAUACGGCCCAG